ACGAACGCUGGCGGCGUGCCUAACACAUGCAAGUCGAGCGGGGACAUGCGACGGAUCGGAAGUUUCGGAUGGAAGAGAAGAUGUAUGUUCUAGCGGCGGACGGGUGAGUAACGCGUGAGCAACCUGUCCUUCACAGGGGGAUAACACAGCGAAAGUUGUACUAAUACCGCAUAAGACCACAACGGGACAUCCCGAAGGGGUCAAAGGAGCAAUCCGGUGAAGGGUGGGCUCGCGUCCGAUUAGAUAGUUGGUGAGGUAACGGCCCACCAAGUCGACGAUCGGUAGCCGACCUGAGAGGGUGAUCGGCCACAUUGGGACUGAGACACGGCCCAAACUCCUACGGGAGGCAGCAGUGGGGAAUAUUGGGCAAUGGGGGGAAACCCUGACCCAGCAACGCCGCGUGAGGGAAGAAGGUUUUCGGAUCGUAAACCUCUGUCCUUGGUGAAGAGGAAGAGACGGUAGCCAAGGAGGAAGCCCCGGCUAACUACGUGCCAGCCGCGGC
Molecule: ribosomal RNA, 502 nt
Filed under: uncultured bacterium
Lineage: Bacteria
Description: bacterial SSU rRNA
Rfam family: Bacterial small subunit ribosomal RNA
Source: RNAcentral